AGUUUCUUAUUGCCCGAAAGAUGUUUCUAACUUUGGUCUGUAUCUCUCCACCGUCACCUGUGAUUGGUUGCCUUCAAUGUUAUGUUUCUCGAUGUACUAAGGUGUUUCUUCUUUGUUGCUAUGUAUGAAGAUGUUUGCAGGUACUGUUAUAUGAUUGGGCGAAGAAGUUGUCACUCCAUGCAUCUUCUCUUUGGUAUCGGUGAUUGGGUUUGUAGGGGUUGCCCUCCCCCUAUAUUUUUGCGCCGUUAGUUAUAGGGGUAUAAAGGAUGAUCUUUCAGUAGGGGUGUUGUCUCUCUUUCUGUUCUGUCUAUGCGAGACUGUCAUGGGCUUGAGUGAGUGGAGCAGAAGUCGACCCACCGGUGUUGAAUAAAAGGGUUUGGAUUCCAGUGCUUGAAGAACCGGAAUUAAAAGGUGUAUAUGAUGAUCAACUAAUCUGAUUUGGUUAUCACAAACAUAUGAUAUUUUUAAAGAAAAUGUGAAAGUAACUACAGUAUACUAAAUGUAAUGAAGUCAUGUAACCCUCUAAAGUAUUUAGCUCCCACCUGCAUAGCACAUUUAUGAUUGUUUUGCUUUCCUCCAGGUAAAUUGGCUCCUGAGAAUUUGUUCACUUGCAUUGCGAACAUCAAACAACAUUUCCAAUCAAUUCUAGCUAAGUGAGGGGCAUCAAAUUUUAAUUCUACAUCACUGGUUCUUAUCCACGUUUUUCCUUAUUGCCUUGAGAGCUAUAGACCGUCUGGCAGUAGUCAGCUGCAAUCUGUUUCUUUGAGGCAAAUGUAAAAUUCCAAACACAAUGGGGCUACAUUUAAUUGAAAGGAAGAAGUUUAUCAUUUUAACUGGAGGAUGUGGAGUGAAAUAAUCAUAAAUCUACACGUUAUCACCAACAAUCCCAAUAAUAUAAAUCUUUCUUUUCUAAGUACAAAAAUGGGGGUGAAGAUACUGUGGCAGGGGUGAAAGAGUUAAUCACUAUUAGCUAGGGUUAUCUUGCAUGACGGGAUACUUGACCAUUUUCUAUUUUUGCUUAAAUGCUUAUGUAGCUUAAAAACUAUUGACAGAGGAAAUAUACUGCUGACUCAUGUAACUGUAAACUGAAAUGCUGCUGUUGCCUCGUUUGGGGGUAACUGAUAACUGAAAUACUGCUGACUCGUGUAGAUGUGACCGCACCUUGCAAUCAUUGGAAAACCCAGCGAACAGAAUAUGCCUGGGAUAAGGUAACUACAGAAUGGCAGUUGAUUGAACAGACGUACAUAGAUCACUACUCCACAGAAGAUAAGAUAACAGUCACUGGAACAGGCAUCAGCAGUUGUUUCUUGGAAGUGCUCCUCGGCAGUAGUUUUUGGAAAAAUGACUACGUCUUUUCUUUGACUUUAAGUGUAUAUAAGAGAUUGUAAAACACUGUAUCUUUGGGUAGCUGCUCGGGGAGUACUGAGUGUAUUGGUAUACUGUCUGUACUGGUCCCCACCACUCGCAUCAUGACGAAUUGAGUAAAGAUUGGCUUGGUUUACCUUUAACCCCUUGUGUUGUUGUUUGUUUUAAGUAGAGAACUUUAUCAUUGGCAUAGUCGGCAGGAUGUUGCUGGGACCAUCAACAGACGACUGAGUGAGAGGCUGCAGUUUGACUGGGAUUGGAUGGGGAGAAAAAAGUGCACGUCGGACCCCUUGAGCCCGACCUCCCAUAGAAGCUCCCGGGAAAAUUCAGGUCCCUCAUCAGAUGAUUGAUCUGGUUUCCUGCCGAAAUCCUUAGAAGCAGAUAAUGAAGUACAUCACGUGUGGAAUGGUGCGCAAGCUUAUUUGCGUAUUUGGGUGUAUCAAAGUUUUAAGAGUUUGAAUAAUUUCUUUGAGAAUGCAAAUGAGCAGCCAAGUCUCCUGUGUCCAGGCAAGUAAUUGUGUGGAAGCUUGAAGCAUGUGCUGUGUAAAAGACAAAUGAAGGUCCGUGCAGUAUUGUGCUAGCUAGUUGAUUACAUCAGACCAUAGCUUACAAAAGGAGGUUUGAAAUAACUCACUAGGGGGGUUACAAAGUGAGAGAUAAAGUAGAUUGGGGAGGAGAAACAUAUUUGGACAAUUGAAGACAAAAAUACCAACUAACCCUGACCUCCUUCCCAGCACUGGGAUUCUUAUAUUGACUACACACUACCAUUUGUGCUAUGAUAAUGAACGGAGGGUACAAAAGGUGGUGGUAACAGACCAUGAAGACAGAAUGAGGCCGGUUGCAUACUGUUCAACUAGGCAAAGUCCAGUGGUCGCUGGGCUGCACUGAUGUGCUUAAGCAAGUGACUACGUAAAGGUAUUCCCAUGUCAAGACAGAACAGCUAGAAUUGUGAUAAAGAGUCAGAAAGGUAAUAUUUGGGUGGGGGUCCCUCUUCAGAUAGACUCUGAUCAGGGAACACAUUCACAGGGAGAGUGAUGAAGGAGGCUUCUGACUUGUAAGUAGUUAAAGAGUGAUUUCACAUUCCCAAACCACCCACAGUUUUGGAUUAGUGGAGGAAAUGAAUAGUAUUAAAGAGUUUAAAGGGCCUGUCCCACUUGGCGAUUAUUUCAGCGACUGCAGGCAUCAUUGACUGACGUAUCAUAUCACCACAAAAUACGCGGCGUGACAUGGCAUGAUGACGUAUGACGCGGCGGUGAUGCGGCGUGAUGAUGUAUGAUGCGUGGUCUUUUCUCAAGUGUCGCAACCACUUUUUUUGUCGCCGCUGGAUUUUGAUUUGUUCGAAAUCUUUUUGCGACACUGAUAUGACGCCGGCAAAAAUCGCCAAGUGGGACAGGCCCUUAAGUAAAGCCUUGACUGAGACUGGACAGGAAUGGGUUAAGGUAUUCCCAGCCACUCCGAUGGUUCAGAACAACCCCAGCUAGAGAGACAGGGUUAAAGCCUUUUGAAUUGAUAACAGGAUAAGCUAUAAACCUACCAGAAGAUGACCCUCCUUGAAAUGAGGAUGAUCCCACGCUACCUACCCCUCGGGUUGCGACUAGUGUGGAAAUUACACCCACAGGCCCUCAGCGAUGAAUCAAUUAGGUAUGCACAGCAAUUAACCCAUGCCUUGCCAGGUCUGCAUUCCCAGGUAGGAGAGGCACAGGAGCUACUAUCAGUUGAACUCAGGGACGAGUUCAUACUGUCAGAUUACGUGCUGAUAAGGUAAUUGGAUCAGAAGAAAUUAAGACUUUGUUGAAAGGGACUGUACCAAGUGCUACCAACAACAUCAACCGCCCUGAAGAUUGAAGAUCACCCCCGUUGGUACAUCUGAUUGACUGUAAACGGAUCGGAGAACCAAGAAAAGACAAUGGAGCUAUUGACCCUUCUUUGUAUUCUGGGGUUGGCCCAGAUGGACUGUCUUGGGGAAAUAAUUUGUUUCUGUCUAUGAGUUUUGAAUUUUCCCUUUGUGAUAAUAUAAGUGUAUGCUGGGAUGUGUACGCACAUCCAUAUAAUGGUGGAGGAGGAAUACUGCUCUUGACAAUACCCAUUAAUUUUACUGAGAUUCUUGCCUUACUCUGUUUUCACAGUAAAACAGCAACUAAUGGAUGCCUUCAGAAUGGCAAACUUGAGGACUAACCCAUAUUUAAAGGAUGGUAUGGUAUACAGCCUCCUUCAAGCUGGGAUGGAAAGUAAAUGAGAUCAGAGCUUGGGAAAUGCCACAGCUUAAAUUAGUGGAUUGCCCCCACAGCCCAGUUAUACCACCAGUUACUGUGACAAAAGAGGCAACGGGGUAUACUUAGGGAACAGCACCUGCACUAAGGUUAGUGUUCGUGGCCCGCCACAUCCAAUAAAUGGGACGUAUUUUGUGUGUGGAUCCUGGGCAUACCCAAGGUUACCUGGUAUGCCCCCGUGGGGAUGAGAAGAAUUGGGAAAGGUUGAUCAGGCCAGCCUACAACUGAAGGGGAUGCAGUUAUUUGCCCUUUGCUGUCCCUCACAUGCGAGCUGUGUAACAUUUAACUGAAUUGUAUUUCCCCAUGCGGGCUAAGUGAAGUAUAUCGAAGUCAAAGCGAUUCUGGAUGAUUGCCUUCCCGCAUUACGGGACAGCCCGCCUAUCACGGGAAUCGAUUAAUACGGUCGCUGUAUUGGAGACAUUGGUUAAUGAAACUGCGGUCGCCUUUACCUACACGCAAAAGGCCCUCUCAUCCAAAACAGCUGAAAUGGUUGCACUUUGAACUAUAGCCCUGCAGAAAAAAAAGGAGGUACCUGUACUAUAAUAGGGCAGGAAUGCUGCACGUAUGUUCCCGAUGAAUCCUUUAGCAUUACUAACCUAGCUGUCCACAUAUCCCAAUAAGUUAAAAUUUGAAGCCUGAUGCAUGUCUACAGUGAUGGGGGCAGCUGGUGGCUAUUUAGCUGGUUUGGAGGUCUCUCGGGGACCAUACUACAUUACGGUUCUAUUUUUCUGUUGGUGCUUACGUUGAUAUAUGUUAUGCAAUGUAUCUAACCACUCUGUGCUUUGUGAGGACUGGCAUGUUAUCAUGUAAUGAUAAAAAAGAAUCAAUGAAAGAUUGAAUCACUGUUAGCUAGGGUUACCUUGCAUGAUGGGAUACUUGACCAUCUUCUAUUUUUGCUUAAAUGCUCAUGUAACUUUAAAACUAUUGACAGAGGAAAUAUACUGCUGACUCAUGUAGAUAAAAACUGAAAUAUUGCUGGUGCCUCGUAUGGGGGUGACUGAUAACUGAAAUACUGCUGACUCAUGUUGAUGUGACCGAAACUUGCAAUCCUUGGAAAAACCACAGAACAGAAUAUGCCUGGGAUAAGCUAGCUACAGAAUGGCAAUUGAGCGAACCGAUGUACAUAGAUCGCUUCUCUGCAAAAGAUAAGAUAACAGUCACUGGAACAGAUGACAACAGUUGUUUCUUGGAAAAAUGACUAAGGCAUUUACUUGACUUUAAGAGUAUAUAAUUGUAAAUCACUGUAUAUUUGGGUGGCUGCUCGGAAAAUGCUGAGUGUAUUGGUAUACUGAGUGUAUUGCCACCCCCGUCAUGAUGAAUUGAGUAAAGCCUGGCUUGGUUUACCUUUAACCCUUAUAGUCUGUUAAGUGUUAUAGUCUGUUUUAAGUAGUGAACUUUAUCAGGGGAGGCAGUACAUUGGCAAAUUCAGGGUUCUGAUCAAAAAUCACCAUUGGGAAGAAAAUCUUUACUGUUUUCAGGAUUGGCAUAGUGGCGGCAUAGUGCUGAGAGCAGGGAAGGCACACUGUUACAAUAAUAGAGUUGUUGUCUUACAGCACCAGAGACUCGGGUUCGAUCCCGACUAUGGGUGUUGUCUGCAUGGAGUUUUACAUUCUCCCUGUGACUGCAUGGGUUUCCUCCGGGUGCUUCAGUUUCCUCCCACAUUACAUAGACAUGCAGGUUUGUAGGUAAAUUGGCCUAUAUAAAUUGCCCGUAAUGUGUAGGAUAGAAUUAGUAUACGGAUGAUCACUGGUCAGCGAGGGCUCGGUGGGCCAAAGGGCCUUUUUCCACGCUGUAUUAUGCUAAGCCUAGUUAAGAUUGCUAUACAGCCAUCUGCGACUGAGGAAAGGUAAUGUUAAACCCAAAUAUUUUCCAUGAUUACUGCCCAAGAACAUAGCCAGUCCCAUCAGUCAGCAAUGAAUCACCAUUGCUGCCUGUCACAACAGUGGGAGAGUAGCUUGUCAAACUAUUACUGUGUGUGCGGUGCUGGGAUGCCCAUUUACUGAGCUUUGUGUGGAAGCAAUAAUUGCUCAUGUAUUUCUGCAGCUGCAAACAUUACAGAAGUGAAUUUGAUGUCAGAAAUCUGCAUCAUCAAGAGGCUUCCAAAACAGCAAAUAUUUCAAAAGAGAAAGGCACUGUGUCACGAAGGAAGAGAAGAGAAUGAUGAACCUGCAUUUUUAACCAACUCAGGAUGUCACAAGUCAUCGCAGAGAGUGAAGUGUGGUUAGUGUUGCAAUGUGGGAAAAGCCACAGCCAGCCUGUGCUGAUCAAGCAUGCAAAGAGCAAGGUGAUAAUGAACAGAUGAUCUCCUUUAAUCAAAAGGAAACAAAGUGCAGGAAUAUCUCAGCGGGUUGGGCAGUUCCUCUAGCACUUUGUAUCCUUUUGCAUAAACCGGCAACUGCAGUUCCUUGUUUCUGCAUCUCCUCUAAUUAAUGUUGGUUGAGGGAGGAAGAGCAGCAAACAAAUGUCCACUUAAGUGAAUAGACAGACUCGUUAUUUAACAUGUCAUUUGACAAAUGGAACAUGCACUCUGAGCAUAUCUUAAUAUCUUAAUAUCGUCCAAGUCUGGUGAGAAUUAUGCAAUUUAAACUGGUCAGAAGAAGGGCCUCAACCUGAAACAUCACCCAUUCCUUCUCUCCAGAGAUGUUGCCUGUCCGACUGAGUUACUCCAGCAUUUUGUACCUAUCUUUGGUGUAAGCAAGAAUCUGCAGUUCCUUCCGACACAUUUAGUCUAAAACAGCACCGGAGUCAGACUAUCUGGAUCUGAGCCAGAUAGUCCAAAUGACUGUGACAGAUGAUUCUUCUCGAUCUGUUAGUCUUUGUUUAAUGUCAAUGAGCACUGAAAUCUUUGGACAAAACAUUUGCCAAAAGUUGUAAUCUAAAAUAUCAAUCUGACUGAGACAGGAAGUUUCUUAUACAUCACUCAUUCCCAAGUAAGAUCAUGACAUAUAGUCUAUACUGCUGUGGUACGUACAGUGGUGGUUGAUUAGACCAAUCUGGAUUCAAAAGUUCCUUCUGCAGAGAUACAGAGAUGUUGCAUCAAUGGUUCUUAAUUUUCGAGAUAGGGCUAAUAGAUGGCGUUAAUAGAUGGCAAAAGAAUAUGUAGGGCAAACCCUAUAUGUAUGCUCUGCAAAGUUGUGGCAAGAAUACUCUUAACGUGCCUGCAGGUUUCUUCAUCUUUGAUCCGACUGGGCAAUUUCACCAUCUGUCACUGUUGAUGCCCUCAUGGAUCCAAAUGCUUCGAAGCAAUGAGAUCUUUAUUGUGAGAUUAAUGAGUUGUAAGAUACAUAAAUGAACACUAUCUGUACUUGCAAUUCAAAGUUCAAUUACAGUGUUGUGUGUAUUUAAUAAUAUGCGCACAUAUAAUAACCAUAUAACAAUUACAGCACGGAAACAGGCCAUCUCGACCCUUCUAGUCCGUGCCAAACACAUAUUCUCCCCUAGUCCCAUAUACCUGCGCUCAGACCAUAACCUUCCAUUCCCUUCCCGUCCAUAUAACUAUCCAAUUUAUUUUUAAAUGAUAAAAACGAACCUGCCUCCACCACCUUCACUGGACGCUCAUUCCACACAGCCACCACUCUCUGAGUGAAGAAGUUCCCCCUCAUGUUACCCCUAAACUUCAGUCCCUUAAUUCUCAAGUCAUGUCCCCUUGUUUGAAUCUUCCCUACUCUCAGUGGGAAAAGCUUUUCCACGUCAACUCUGUCUAUCCCUCUCAUCAUUUUAAAAACCUCUAUCAAGUCCCCCCUUAACCUUCUGCGCUCCAAAGAAUAAAGCCCAAACUUGUUCAACCUUUCUCUGUAACUUAGUUGCUGAAACCCAGGCAACAUUCUAGUAAAUCUCCUCUGUACUCUCUCUAUUUUAUUGACAUCCUUCCUAUAAUUAGGCGACCAAAAUUGUACACCAUACUCCAGAAUUGGCCUCACCAAUGCCUUGUACAAUUUUAACAUGACAUCACAACUUCUAUACUCAAUGCUCUGAUUUAUAAAGGCCAGCACACCAAAAGCUUUCAUUACCACCCUAUCUACAUGAGAUUCCACUUUCAGGGAACUGUGCACAGUUAUUCCCAGAUCCCUCUGUUCACCUACAUUCUUCAAUUCCCUACCAUUACCAUGUAAAAUACGGAAUAUAAGGACAUAUACGGAAUUAAGAGCAGGAAUACCUGUUCCAUUUCCGAUCCGAUUCUAAUCUCAACUGUCCCUUGGUAACUUUCACCCUCUUGUUUAUUAUGAAUCUAUUGGCUUCUGGCUUGCCAGCACAGUAGCACAGCAGUAGAAUCGCUGCCUCACAGCACCAGAGACCCAAAUUCAAUCCUGACCAUGGAUGCAGUCUGUACAGUACAUUCUCCCUGUGACCGUGUGCAUUUUCUCCGGAUGCACCGGUUUGCUCCCAUACUCUGAAGAUAGGCAG
Long non-coding RNA from Leucoraja erinaceus (little skate), 8039 nucleotides. RefSeq lists it as uncharacterized. The record is from RefSeq and is a predicted model, not a curated record. Lineage: Eukaryota; Metazoa; Chordata; Chondrichthyes; Rajiformes; Rajidae. The transcript has 3 exons.